CUGGUUGAGAAGGACAGUAGCUGAUUGGUAACCUGACCCCCCUGCUCUCUUCCUUUGAAGGAGCCUGCAAGCAGGAGAGAGAUGUGAGGAUUGGAGAAUGAUUGCCCAAGAGGAGCAAAGGAGCUUCCGCUCUCCUAUGCAGCCUGCCACAGGGGAAAGGAAGAGAGGGGCAAAGUGAGUGGCAGCAAGGAUUGAAGGGUCCCAGUGGGAGCACUAAACUGGGGAGUGCCAUUCCUAAACCAUGACAUGCUUUUUAAACAGUUGGUGGAGAGAACAGCUGAAGACAUCAAGAAGUUUCUUACAACCUGGCCAAAGGAUUUAUUUUAUGGUCCAUGAGGAUAAAAGUUCUGCACUGAAGAUUUUGGAAGAUGGACAAAUCCUUUAAAGGCUAGUACCAGGUGAUAGCUG
Long non-coding RNA from Passer domesticus (house sparrow), 408 nucleotides. RefSeq lists it as uncharacterized. The transcript has 3 exons. NCBI's taxonomy places the organism in Eukaryota, Metazoa, Chordata, Aves, Passeriformes, Passeridae. The record is from RefSeq and is a predicted model, not a curated record.